This 1960-nucleotide ribosomal RNA is filed under the name human gut metagenome. RNAcentral describes it as "bacterial LSU rRNA". It matches the Rfam family "Bacterial large subunit ribosomal RNA", at positions 3 to 1980 of the family's 2925-position model. The record is from RNAcentral.
UCAAGCUACUAAGGGCAUACGGCGGAUGCCUAGGCGCCAUCAGCCGAUGAAGGACGCGGUAAGCUGCGAAAAGCUACGGGGAACUGCAAGCAAGUAUUGAUCCGUAGAUGUCCGAAUGGGGAAACCCACCUGCCGUCAUGGGCAGGUAUCCGAAAGGAAGGGAACCCGGGGAACUGAAACAUCUAAGUACCCGGAGGAAGAGAAAUCAAACGAGAUGCCCACAGUAGCGGCGAGCGAAGAGGGCAGAGGGCAAACCGGGGAGCUACGGCUCUUCGGGGUUGAGGACUGCAUUUAGUCUUAAUGGUCUAUCCGAACUACCUGGAAAGGUAGGCAACACAGUGUAAAAGCCACGUAGGUUAAAGACCAGAGAGAUGAGCAGUAUCCAGAGUACCACGAGGCACGAGGAAUCUUGUGGGAAGCCGGGGGGACCACCCUCCAACCCUAAACACUGAAUGGCGACCGAUAGCGCAUAGUACCGUGAGGGAAAGGUGAAAAGAACCCCGGGAGGGGAGUGAAAGAGAACCUGAAACCGUAUGUCUACAAGCAGUCGGAGCGAAAGCGACGGCGUGCCUAUUGAAGAAUGAACCAACGAGUUACGUGCACUAGCGAGGUUAAGUGGAAGACACGGAGCCGAAGCGAAAGCGAGUCUUAAGAGGGCGGAUAGUUAGUGUACGUAGACCCGAAACCGCAGUGAUCUACCCAUGUCCAGGUUGAAGCGCAGGUAAAAUUGCGUGGAGGACCGAACCUGUGAGCGUUGAAAAGCUUUAGGAUGAGAUGUGGGUAGAGGUGAAAUUCCAAUCGAACGCGGAGAUAGCUGGUUCUCCCCGAAAUAGCUUUAGGGCUAGCCUCAAGUAGUAAGUAUAGGCGGUAGAGCACUGAUCGGGCUAGGGGCCAUAAAGGUUACCGAACCCUGUCAAACUCCGAAUGGUUAUACUGUAGAGCUUGGGAGUCAGACUACGAGUGAUAAGAUCCGUGGUCAAAAGGGAAACAGCCCAGACCACCAGCUAAGGUCCCCAAUGUCGUACUAAGUGGAAAAGGAUGUGGGGUCUCUAAAACAACCAGGAUGUUGGCUUAGAAGCAGCCACCAUUUAAAGAGUGCGUAAUAGCUCACUGGUCGAGAGACCCUGCGCCGAAGAUUACCGGGGCUAAAGUACGAAACCGAAGCUGUGGCUACGACGUAAGUCGUGGGGUAGGGGAGCGUUCUGUGAGGGCUGAAGUCGUUCUGUAAGGAACGGUGGACUUCACAGAAGUGAGAAUGUUGGUAUGAGUAGCGAAAAGAAUGGUGAGAAUCCAUUCCACCGAAAGCAUAAGGAUUCCUGGGCAACGAUCGUCGUCCCAGGGUAAGUCGGGACCUAAUCCGAGGCAUGGAGCGUAGGAGAUGGACAACUGGCAGAUAUUCCAGUACCGGUAAUGAUUGUUUGAGCGAUGGAGUGACACAGGAGGGCAGGCAGGCAGGAGAUUGGUUGUUCCUGUACAAGCGUGUAGGAUGGGACGCAGGCAAAUCCGCGUCCUGUGAGUCUGAGGCGUGAUGUGGAGGUUCCGGAAACGGAACUGAAGCUGCUGACCCCACACUGUCGAGAAAAGCUUCUAGUUAGAGAAUUACCGCCCGUACCGUAAACCGACACAGGUAUGCGGGGAGAGAAUCCUAAGGUGCGCGGGAGAACCCUCGUUAAGGAACUCGGCAAAAUGUACCCGUAACUUCGGGAUAAGGGUAGCCGCUGUUGUGAAGUCUGCACAGACGGAGCAUGAGGCGGUCGCAGAGAAGAGGCCCAAGCGACUGUUUACCACAAACACAGGUGCCUGCUAAAGAGAAAUCUGACGUAUAGGUGCUGACACCUGCCCAGUGCCGGAAGGUUAAGGAAGGAUGUCCGGAGCAAUCCAAAGCAUUCGACCGAAGCCCCGGUGAACGGCGGCCGUAACUAUAACGGUCCUAAGGUAGCGAAAUUCCUUGUCGGGUAAG